This 394-nucleotide ribosomal RNA is filed under the name uncultured Desulfuromonas sp. RNAcentral's name for it is "bacterial SSU rRNA". It matches the Rfam family "Bacterial small subunit ribosomal RNA", at positions 991 to 1382 of the family's 1533-position model. Lineage: Bacteria; Pseudomonadati; Thermodesulfobacteriota; Desulfuromonadia; Desulfuromonadales; Desulfuromonadaceae. The record is from RNAcentral.
GAUCGCUACCUUUUGGAAACUUAAGGGUCAGUUCGGCUGGAUCGGUGACAGGUGCUGCAUGGCUGUCGUCAGCUCGUGUCGUGAGAUGUUGGGUUAAGUCCCGCAACGAGCGCAACCCUCGUCCUUAGUUGCCAGCAUUAAGUUGGGCACUCUAAGGAGACUGCCGGUGUUAAACCGGAGGAAGGCGGGGAUGACGUCAAGUCCUCAUGGCCCUUAUGUCCAGGGCUACACACGUGCUACAAUGGCCGGUACAAAGGGUAGCAAGACCGCGAGGUGGAGCCAACCCCAAAAAGCCGGUCUCAGUUCGGAUUGGAGUCUGCAACUCGACUCCAUGAAGUUGGAAUCGCUAGUAAUCGUGGAUCAGCAUGCCACGGUCGAAUACGUUCCGGGCCUU